Molecule: ribosomal RNA, 367 nt
Filed under: uncultured bacterium
Lineage: Bacteria
Description: bacterial SSU rRNA
Rfam family: Bacterial small subunit ribosomal RNA
Source: RNAcentral
GACGAACGCUGGCGGCGUGCUUAACACAUGCAAGUCGAACGGUGAACCAGAGCUUGCUCUGGGGAUCAGUGGCGAACGGGUGAGUAACACGUGGGCAACCUGCCCAGACUCUGGGAUAACCCCGGGAAACCGGAGCUAAUAUCGGAUAUGACCACUUCGGACAUCCGAUGGUGGUGGAAAGUUUUUCGGUCUGGGAUGGGGCCCGCGGCCUAUCAGCUAGUUGGUGGGGUAAUGGCCCUACCAAGGCGACGACGGGUAGCCGGCCUGAGAGGGCGACCGGCCACACUGGAACUGAGACACGGUCCAGACUCCUACGGGAGGCAGCAGUGGGAAUAUUGCACGAUGGGCAAAGCCUGAUGCAGCGACG